UGGGUUGUAACUCAGUGGUAGAGCACUUGCCUAGCACACAUGAGGCCCUGGGUUUGAUCCUCAGCACCACAU
This 72-nucleotide transfer RNA is filed under the name Marmota monax (woodchuck). It matches the Rfam family "tRNA". From Rfam's summary of the family: Transfer RNA (tRNA) molecules are approximately 80 nucleotides in length. Lineage: Eukaryota; Metazoa; Chordata; Mammalia; Rodentia; Sciuridae. The record is from Rfam by way of RNAcentral.